CGUGGGUCCUCACUGCAAGCCCGCUCCUGAAGCCAGCUCUAAGCUUCCCCAGCCGGCAGGGGCAGCCGAGGCCGCCUGGGUCCCUGCACCGGGGCAGAGGUGGGCCCUUGGUGGGCUGCCGGUCAGCGUGGGGAGAAUAGUCUAUCGCUCUCCACCAGGUCCUCACACCUCGAGCUGCCUGUUGCCUUCCCUGGCCUCACCUUGAGGAUGGACCCCACUGUGGGCGACGCAGCUGGUGACCCCACUGCUGGGAGCGAGGGCCAUUCUGCAGGCCAGGACCUGCUCCUGUUCCUGCAGGCCCUGCAGACGCUGUGGUCCACGCGGGAGCUGCGGCAGGUGCUCACUGACAGGUGUGCAUCCCCCGCCACGGUCCCUCCAUCACAGGUCUCCACAGGUAGGGCUCUGUCACCCGUCUUCUCAAUCCCCAUUAGGGCGUCUCCUUAGACUGAUGCGUUACCAAUUUCCAAGCACAUGCGGGGUUGUUUUGAGCUCUUUCGUGACUUGUUUCUGUCUAUGAAGGAGCACGUCCGUGUGUUCUCCUUUUUGGUGCUAGAGAGGCCUGUGUGCGUCUUGUGAGUGACCUGGGCAGCUGUGUUCUCCACCUGGGAGCCAAGCUUCUGCCUGGAGGGACAUGUGCUGUCUCCCCUGGGUUCACUUGCCAGAACUGGUCCGGGGUGGGUGGGCAAGCACCGUGCCGCUCAGUAUCUGAGGUCGGACCCUGGUGAUGCCCCAGGGGCGGAGGGUCCCCGCAGGAGCCACUAGGCGGUG
RNAcentral lists this long non-coding RNA (768 nucleotides) under Zalophus californianus (California sea lion). RNAcentral describes it as "lncRNA (ENSZCAG00015025192.1)". The record is from RNAcentral. Lineage: Eukaryota; Metazoa; Chordata; Mammalia; Carnivora; Otariidae.